UGGAAUGAGUCAUUUCCUCACACGCUUCCCGGUCAAACUCUUCCCCACACACCCACAAGAAAAAGAAUUGAUCGAACUUUGACUUUUUGCCAGAUUUUGGAUAAUUAGCUUGUUAAUUGCAGGCCUGCUCCUCUGAUGAAAUGGUUGCUCCAUAGUGUAUUUGCAGAUAACAUGUUUGUAAGAAUUUCUGUUGUUGUAUUACUUGUAUUUUGCACAAUAACAUCCGAAGCCCAAAACAGUAGUGUGUGUUCUUCUUCUUGUGGUGAUAUUCAUAACAUCAACUUCCCUUUUCGAUUGAAAUCUGAUCCUGGAAAUUGUGGAGAUUCAAGAUUCGAGCUUGAUUGCCAGAACAACCGUACAGUCAUUACUUUUGAUUCGAGAAAAUACAACGUACUCGAAAUCAACUAUGAUGAGUUCUUGAUCAGAGCAAUUGACCCUGGUUUGGAGCAGAAAAACAGUAACUGUACUUCUUCUCCCAAUUAUCACACCACAAGUUAUCCUUUCUCCUCAACUUUUGACUUUGGCAUAUCAAUCAUUCCCAUUAUCUAUGUCAAUUGUUCGGCCACUGCGAAUUCUUCUCGAUAUGUUGAGACUACUUUCUGUGGAUCACAGAGCCAGAGCCAUACCUAUGUCGCCAUAGGAGAGGGCAUGUUGAUUUCGGAUUUGGUUGCGAGUUGCAGAGUGGAAAUGGUGGGCUGGGUUUCGGCUCGUGGCCUUUCGGGGGAUAAUACUUCUCUUUCGAGCAUUGAAGAUGCCCUGAGUUAUGGAUUUGAACUUUCUUGGAAACGCACCUUCUUGUGCAGAGAAUGUGAAGCGAGUCAAGGCAACUGUUUUGCUGAAGGUGACGGUUAUACUUGCAGCCACCGCUGCUACGAUGACACGGGGUUUGAUCUUCCCCUCCCUUGUAGCAUCCACUACUAUGGCGUUCUUACUAUAAUGUACGGUGGAAUAAGUAUAGUCUCAAUUCUAGGGUUACGACUUCUCUUUGGAUUGGUUUUCCUGACUGCAUUAAUAGUGUAUAAAUUGAGAAGGCGACACUUAUCUAUGUAUCAAUCAAUUGAAGACUUCCUGCAAGUCCAGAGCAACCUCUUGCCGAUUAAAUACUCCUACUCUGAGAUUAAAAAUAUGACUAACAAGUUCAAGGAGAAACUAGGCGAAGGAGCGUAUGGAACUGUCUUUAAAGGAAAGCUGCGUAGUGGUCCUUUUGUUGCAGUGAAGAUGAUGCACCAAUCUAUGGCGAGUGGGGGAGAAUUUAUCAGUGAAGUUUCCACAAUUGGAAGAAUACACCAUGUUAACAUCGUGCAGCUCGUUGGAUUCUGCGUAGAGGGAUCAAAACGUGCUUUGGUUUAUGAGUUCAUGCUCAAUGGUUCUUUGGACAAGUACAUAUCUCCGCAAGAAAAAACUGUUUCCUUGAGUUACAAGCAAAUGUUCGACAUAUCUCUUGGAGUGGCCUCUGGCAUAGACUACCUACAUCGGGGCUGCGAUAUGCAGAUCUUACAUUUUGAUAUUAAGCCUCACAACAUUCUUCUUGAUGAAAAUUUCAAUCCCAAAAUAUCUGACUUUGGGCUUGCGAAACUGUACUCCUCAGAUGAUAGUAUUGUGAGUCUAACUGCAGCUAGAGGGACUAUGGGCUACAUGGCUCCGGAGCUGUUUUAUAAAAAUAUUGGAGGAGUGUCAUACAAAGCAGAUGUGUAUAGCUAUGGCAUGUUAUUGAUGGAAAUGGCAGGCAGAAGGAAGAACAUGAACCCAUUUGAGGACCAUUUAAGCCAAAUUUACUUUCCUACCUGGAUUUACGACCAGUUUAAUGAAGGAAAUGAUAUAGAGAUACAGGAUGCAAGCGAGGAAGACCGGAGACUUGUCAAGAAGAUGAUGAUUGUGGCUUUGUGGUGCAUACAAAUGAAGCCUGCUGAUCGCCCUGCCAUGAACAAAGUAGUUGAAAUGCUUGAAGGAGAUGUUGGACUCCUACAGAUGCCCCCAAGACCUUUUAUAGCUCCUCGUGAUCAGAUUGCUGGAGAUAGCGUUGAAACAAUAGGAGUUUCGAGUGAUGUAUAGGUGGUUGGUUACUCACUCUUGUGCAAAACUAUGGUCAUAACUCAUAAUUCACUUGAUUUCUGAUGUCCAAUAUCUAUCAGAAGAGCUCAAUCAAUCUCUAGCCACAAGUAGCCAUUUCCUCCUUGGUUUUAAUAUGGUGUGAUUAUGGUGAUAAAAUAUGUUGUGGGAUUCUCAAUCUUGAUUGCAGUAGUGGUGUGGCAGUGGAAAAGACGUAAUUUGAACACAUGGAAUGAUAAUUUGAUGAAUAGAGUAUCCUUCUCCAACGAACAAAACUAUUAACUUUUACUACUGUUUCAAUUUUUACUUUAUUUUUUAAUAAUAAUAAAAGAUUCAAUUUUCCCAUCA
This is an RNA transcript of Solanum pennellii, 2397 nucleotides long. It is a transcript of the gene named rust resistance kinase Lr10, with no coding region annotated. Lineage: Eukaryota; Viridiplantae; Streptophyta; Magnoliopsida; Solanales; Solanaceae. The transcript has 5 exons. The record is from RefSeq and is a predicted model, not a curated record.